UGACAGUAAAUGUUGCACCUGCUGAUUGGU
This 30-nucleotide non-coding RNA is filed under the name Drosophila erecta. RNAcentral also lists the same sequence under 2 other names. The record is from RNAcentral. Lineage: Eukaryota; Metazoa; Arthropoda; Insecta; Diptera; Drosophilidae.